GGAGUUGUGGGUAACCACUUCCACCACCUUGGACACCAGAUGAGAACUGUUGUGGUUUCAUUGGCAUGUUACUACCAUAUUGAGAGGGUGAUCCACUGUAAGAAUAUGGUUCAGUAGGCCCAGAUGGUGGAGGAACAAAUCCAGUAGAAAAGCCAGAACUGGAUCUGCCAGAUGGGACCUCAUACAUGUGCGAGGGUGGCCCAUAGAACUGUUGAGAGGGAGGUGCCCCAGAAAGUGGCUGAGAGGGUGGCUGAGAGGGUGGCUGGCGAAGGCUUGGAGGGUAGGUCUGAGGUGGAACAUAAGACGUUUCUUCAGGAUGAUGACCUAAUGGAGGUUGGUGUUGAGGAGGAGGAUUAAUGGGUGCAAUAGAAUGGUGCUGUUGCGGCAGCUGGGGUGGCUGAGAAUAUUGUGGAAGAGAGGCUGGUUGAUAUUGUUGAUGUGAUGGAGCUGCAGGAGGCGGCUGUGGUUGCUGGGUCGGUGGUAGUUGGUAUUGCUGGUUGGGAGCUUCUUGUGCCUGACCAGGUGGUUGAAAGUAGGGCUCUCGCUGUGGGAUGGAAGGAAUCUGGUUCGGAGGGAAUUGACUAGGUAGCUGAGCUGGAGGAGACUGCAUAUUGAGUUGGGGAGGAGGUGGCGGAGCAUUAGGGGGAGGGAGUGCAGGAAGUGUUUGAGGAGUAACAGGUGGAGGAAGUGGUUGGUGAGAUUGCUGAGGAGGAGAUGCUGCUUGCUUUGCAGAAUCUAAGGUCACAGUGUUCUGGGUUUCUGAUUGCUGGUCUGCUUUGGACACUUGAAGCUUUGCAAGCUGUAGGUGAGCCUCCACUAUUUCUUGUUUGUCCCUUAAAACCUGUACACCAGUUUGCACC
Molecule: long non-coding RNA, 860 nt
Filed under: Vitis vinifera (wine grape)
Lineage: Eukaryota; Viridiplantae; Streptophyta; Magnoliopsida; Vitales; Vitaceae
Description: long non-coding RNA (VVIN_LNC004847)
Source: RNAcentral